UUAAUACCCCAUAAUAUUUAUCUUUCACAUGGUCGAUAAAUUAAAGUUUUAACGGUUAGAGAUGGGCAUGCGUGACAUUAGUUUGUUGGUGAGGUAACGGCUCACCAAGACUACGAUGUCUAGGGGUUCUGAGAGGAUUAUCCCCCACACUGGUACUGAGACACGGACCAGACUCCUACGGGAGGCAGCAGUAAGGAAUAUUGGGCAAUGGACGAGAGUCUGACCCAGCCAUGCCGCGUGCAGGAUGACUGCCCUAUGGGUUGUAAACUGCUUUUAUAUGGGAAGAAACCUCCGCACGAGUUGCGGGGCUGACGGUACCAUACGAAUAAAGACCGGCUAACUCCGUGCCAGCAGCCGCGGUAAUACGGAGGGUCCAAGCGUUAUCCGGAUUUAUUGGGUUUAAAGGGUGCGCAGGCGGAAUGAUAANUCAGUGGUGAAAGCCUACAGCUCAACUGUAGANCUGCCAUUGAUACUGUCACUCUUGAGUACAGUGGAAGUGGGCGGANUGUAUCAUGUAGCG
RNAcentral lists this ribosomal RNA (520 nucleotides) under uncultured bacterium. Its description in RNAcentral is "bacterial SSU rRNA". It matches the Rfam family "Bacterial small subunit ribosomal RNA", at positions 163 to 680 of the family's 1533-position model. The record is from RNAcentral.